This 73-nucleotide transfer RNA is filed under the name Johnsonella ignava. RNAcentral's name for it is "tRNA-Thr(cgt)". It matches the Rfam family "tRNA". From Rfam's summary of the family: Transfer RNA (tRNA) molecules are approximately 80 nucleotides in length. Their secondary structure includes four short double-helical elements and three loops (D, anti-codon, and T loops). The record is from RNAcentral. RNAcentral also lists the same sequence under 1 other name. Lineage: Bacteria; Bacillati; Bacillota; Clostridia; Lachnospirales; Lachnospiraceae.
GCUUAUGUGGCGCAGCUGGUAGCGCAACUCAUUCGUAAUGAGUAGGUCGCCGGUUCGAAUCCGGCCAUGAGCU